AACGAACGCUGGCGGCAUGCCUAACACAUGCAAGUCGAACGAGACCUUCGGGUCUAGUGGCGCACGGGUGCGUAACGCGUGGGAACCUGCCCUUAGGUUCGGAAUAACUCCCCGAAAGGGGUGCUAAUACCGGAUAAUGUCUUCGGACCAAAGAUUUAUCGCCUUUGGAUGGGCCCGCGUUGGAUUAGCUAGUUGGUAGGGUAAAAGCCUACCAAGGCGACGAUCCAUAGCUGGUCUGAGAGGAUGAUCAGCCACACUGGGACUGAGACACGGCCCAGACUCCUACGGGAGGCAGCAGUGGGGAAUAUUGGACAAUGGGCGAAAGGCUGAUCCAGCAAUGCCGCGUGAGUGAUGAAGGCCUUAGGGUUGUAAAGCUCUUUUAACCGGGAUGAUAAUGACAGUACCGGGAGAAUAAGCUCCGGCUAACUCCGUG
This 433-nucleotide ribosomal RNA is filed under the name uncultured bacterium. RNAcentral describes it as "partial 16S ribosomal RNA". It matches the Rfam family "Bacterial small subunit ribosomal RNA", at positions 29 to 507 of the family's 1533-position model. The record is from RNAcentral.